RNAcentral lists this ribosomal RNA (346 nucleotides) under uncultured Lactobacillus sp. RNAcentral's name for it is "bacterial SSU rRNA". It matches the Rfam family "Bacterial small subunit ribosomal RNA", at positions 195 to 525 of the family's 1533-position model. Lineage: Bacteria; Bacillati; Bacillota; Bacilli; Lactobacillales; Lactobacillaceae. The record is from RNAcentral.
GGCGGCGUAAAGCUGUCGCUAUGGGGGAUGGGCCCCCGCGGUGCAUUUAGCUAGUUGGUAAGGUAAAGGCUUACCAAGGGGCGAUGAUGCAUAGCCCGAGUUGAGAGACUGAUCGGCCACAUUGGGGACUGAGACACGGGCCCAAACUCCUACGGGAGGCAGCAGUAGGGAAUCUUCCACAAUGGACGCAAGUCUGAUGGAGCAAACGCCGCGUGAGUGAAGAAGGUUUUCGGAUCGUAAAGCUCUGUUGUUGGUGAAGAAGGAUAGAGGUAGUAACUGGCCCUUUAUUUGACGGUAAUCAACCAGAAAGUCACGGGCUAACUACGUGCCAGCAGCCGCGGUAAAU